UCUUCGAUGGUCUAGUGGUCAUGAUUUCCGCUUGUCAAUCCUCACGGUUUGCGAGCGCGGGAGACCGGGGUUCGAUUCCCCGUCGGAGAG
This 90-nucleotide transfer RNA is filed under the name Westerdykella ornata. It matches the Rfam family "tRNA". From Rfam's summary of the family: Transfer RNA (tRNA) molecules are approximately 80 nucleotides in length. Their secondary structure includes four short double-helical elements and three loops (D, anti-codon, and T loops). Further hydrogen bonds mediate the characteristic L-shaped molecular structure. tRNAs have two regions of fundamental functional importance: the anti-codon, which is responsible for specific mRNA codon recognition, and the 3' end, to which the tRNAs corresponding amino acid is attached (by aminoacyl-tRNA synthetases). tRNAs cope with the degeneracy of the genetic code in two manners: having more than one tRNA (with a specific anti-codon) for a particular amino acid; and 'wobble' base-pairing, i.e. permitting non-standard base-pairing at the 3rd anti-codon position. Lineage: Eukaryota; Fungi; Ascomycota; Dothideomycetes; Pleosporales; Sporormiaceae. The record is from Rfam by way of RNAcentral.